UACGUAGGGGGCAAGCGUUGUCCGGAUUUAUUGGGCGUAAAGAGCGUGUAGGCGGUUCGGUAGGUCCGUUGUGAAAACUCGAGGCUCAACCUCGAGACGCCGAUGGAAACCCCCGAACUAGAGUCCGGAAGAGGAGAGUGGAAUUCCCGGUGUAGCGGUGAAAUGCGCAGAUAUCGGGAAGAACACCCGUGGCUAAGGCGGCUCUCUAGUACGGUACUGACGCUGAGACGCGAAAGCGUGGGGAG
Molecule: ribosomal RNA, 245 nt
Filed under: uncultured bacterium
Lineage: Bacteria
Description: partial 16S ribosomal RNA
Rfam family: Bacterial small subunit ribosomal RNA
Source: RNAcentral